CGCCUGUUUAUCAAAAACAUCUCUUCUCGUUAGUUUUUGAAGUAUGGCCUGCCCACUGACCUUGAAUGUUGAAGGGCCGCGGUAUUUUGACCGUGCAAAGGUAGCAUAGUCAUUAGUUCUUUAAUUGUGAUCUGGUAUGAAUGGCUUGACGAGGCAUGGGCUGUCUUAAUUUUGAAUUGUUUAUUGAAUUUGGUCUUUGAGUUAAAAUUCUUAGAUGUUUUUAUGGGACGAGAAGACCCUAUAGAGUUUGACAUUUAUUAUGGUCUCUUUCUGUUUGUGAGGGUUCACUAGGGCUGUUUAAUAUGUUUUGUUGGGGUGAUGGGAGGGAUAUUAUUUAACCCCUCCUUUGUGUUGUUAUAUUUAUUUAUAUUUGCUUGAUCCAUUUAUUUUGAUUGUAAGAUUAAAUUACCUUAGGGAUAACAGCGUAA
This 428-nucleotide ribosomal RNA is filed under the name Reticulitermes flavipes (eastern subterranean termite). Its description in RNAcentral is "partial 16S ribosomal RNA". It matches the Rfam family "Archaeal large subunit ribosomal RNA", at positions 1889 to 2554 of the family's 2987-position model. Lineage: Eukaryota; Metazoa; Arthropoda; Insecta; Blattodea; Rhinotermitidae. The record is from RNAcentral.